GACGAACGCUGGCGGCGUGCUUAACACAUGCGAGUCGAACGGAAAGGCCCCUUUGGGGGUCCUCGAGUGGCGAACGGGUGAGUAACACGUGAGUAACCUGCCCUUGACUUCGGGAUAACUUCAGGAAACUGGGGCUAAUACCGGAUAGGAAUCCUUGCUGCAUGGUGGGGGUUGGAAAGCUUCGGCGGUUUUGGAUGGACUCGCGGCUUAUCAGCUUGUUGGUGGGGUAGUGGCUUACCAAGGCUUUGACGGGUAGCCGGCCUGAGAGGGCGACCGGCCACAUUGGGACUGAGAUACGGCCCAGACUCCUACGGGAGGCAGCAGUGGGGAAUAUUGCACAAUGGGCGGAAGCCUGAUGCAGCAACGCCGCGUGCGGGAUGACGGCCUUCGGGUUGGAAACCGCUUUCAGCAGGGGCGAAGCUUGUGGUGACGGUACCUGCAGAAGAAGCACCGGCUAACUACGUG
This 465-nucleotide ribosomal RNA is filed under the name uncultured bacterium. Its description in RNAcentral is "partial 16S ribosomal RNA". It matches the Rfam family "Bacterial small subunit ribosomal RNA", at positions 28 to 507 of the family's 1533-position model. The record is from RNAcentral.